RNAcentral lists this long non-coding RNA (439 nucleotides) under Mustela putorius furo (domestic ferret). RNAcentral describes it as "lncRNA (ENSMPUG00000028106.1)". Lineage: Eukaryota; Metazoa; Chordata; Mammalia; Carnivora; Mustelidae. The record is from RNAcentral.
UGAAACCAGACAUCAAGCAGAGAGCUUGUCUCCUGACACAGGAAGGCUGCUGGGGAACAACUGGGCUCUCCUUCUUGCCAUUUUGUGGAUGAGAAAACGGAAGCUCAGGCAGGCCAAGAGGCUGAGCUGUGGUCUUCUGGUGUCAGCUCAGGCUUUGAAUCUGAAAAUUACUGAUUCUGGCUCUCAUGGUGGAUAUUAGGCAUCUCUCGAAAUCCAGCCAGCAUCUGAGGUUACUGACCACUGGAAGAAAGGCCAGGUCCCAUGCCAAAGCUGUGGAGCUCAAGGAUAUCUAAUACUUGGGCUCCACCUGCAAAUCUCACUGCCUUUACGGGGGACUGACAUCACACUAUGGGCCAAUUAAUACUGUGCUGUUUUUUACCAGAGACAUGUACAAAAAAGCUGCAGCAAUAAAGGUAUGAAGCACAACGGGGCAUUUCAC